UACAGAGGGUGCGAGCGUUAAUCGGAUUUACUGGGCGUAAAGGGAGCGUAGGCGGUUGUAUGAGUGUGAUGUGAAAGCCCCGGGCUCAACCUGGGAAGCGCAUCGCAAACGAUACGACUAGAGUAUAUGAGAGGGUGGCGGAAUUUCCGGUGUAGCGGUGAAAUGCGUAGAGAUCGGAAGGAACGUCAAUGGCGAAGGCAGCCACCUGGCAUAAUACUGACGCUGAGGCUCGAAAGCGUGGGGAGCGAACAGG
RNAcentral lists this ribosomal RNA (253 nucleotides) under uncultured bacterium. RNAcentral describes it as "partial 16S ribosomal RNA". It matches the Rfam family "Bacterial small subunit ribosomal RNA", at positions 524 to 776 of the family's 1533-position model. The record is from RNAcentral.